GGUAUAUCCAGCUCUGAGUGUUGUUUUUAAGUAUUUAAGGGGAAAUUUGUGCACGGUGAAAAUGAAGAGACUGCAGCAUUAUAAAUUCAUUUCCUCUAUUAGAAUCAGGGCCGCGCCUGCCCACUGCAGCUGUUCGGAAGGCAGGGCGGCCAGGCUGGAGGGCGCACCCCGGCAGCAGACGACCCUUUGUUUCCCCAGAGAGGAGACUUGGCCGGCCCCACACCCUUCACGGGAACUAUUUCCUCAGUGGCGCCAGGCAGUUGGGCAGGAUCAUCUGGUGCGGUUUUCAUGUGGCAAAGCAAAAAAUCCUCCGGGAUUCCAGGGUGACUUCUAAAGAUCCACUUUCAUCCGUGACCUCAAACCCUGCCUUGCACCAGGCCCCAAAGAUGAGAGGUCAUUGCGGCCUGGGCAGGAUUCACUGACCUCUGAAACCACCCUCCCUGAUCCAUCCAGCGAAAGCCGAGAGCGACUCAGAAAACAGGUGUUACAUGGCAGAUGAGAAAAAGAGGACAAGAUGAGUGCCUUUUCCAAUACAGUAGAAUAACUUCUGUCUCUCCUUACAUUGUCUGCUUCCUGACCAGCCAGCGAGCUGCUGGAAGCUCCAGCAGGUGAGCAGCACCCAGUUGAAAAUUCUGGAGGCUUCCCUGGUGGCCCCGUGGGUAAGAAUCCACCUGCCAAUGCAGAGGACACGGGUUUGAUCCCUGAUCCAGGAAGAUCCCAUGUAUCAUGGAGCAACUAAGCCCAUGCACCACAACUACUGAGCCUGCACGCUAGGGCCAGGGAGCCACAACUACUGAGCCUGUGAACCACAGCUACUGAAGCCCACAUGCCGAGAGCCUGCGUUCCACAAUAAGAGAUGCCGCUGCAAUGAGAAGCCUGUACACAGCAACAAAGAGUGGCCCCUGUUCGCGGCAAAUAGAGAAAGCCCAUGCACAGUAAGGAAGACCUAGUACAACCAAAAAUAAUAAAUAAUUUUUUUAAUGUAAUGUGGCUGAAGAAAUAAAGGCUCCAGAUGAAUGCUGCAGGUUGGUUGUGCAAGUAGAUUGUAGAAAUUCUAGUCCAGGUAGGAGGCUUUGGAGGUCUCAUCUCUACCACGGUUUCCUGAAUCAUGAGGCAGCAUGAGACAGACCUCAUUUUAUUGUGCUUUACAUUAUUGCGCUUUGCAAAUACUGAGGUUUCUACAAAUCAAAGGUUUGUGGAAACCCUGUGUUGUUAGAUGAUGGUUAGCAUUUGUAACAAUAAACUUUUAAAAUUAAGGUAUAUACUUCUUUUUAGACAUAUGCUAUUGUAUACUUAAUAGACUAUAAUAUAGUGUAAAUCUAACUUUUAUAUGUACUGGGAAAAAAUUCAUGUGACUUGCUUUAUUGCAGUAGUCACUUUAUUGAGGUGGUCUGGAACUGAACUCACAAAUCUCUGAUGUAUGCCUAUUUCAGACACUCUUUAUCCAUUUCUGCAAGCAACCAAGCAUAAUACAGAAAGCCCAAGACACCUUUAUGCAGAUAAUGAGCAUAAGGCAUGAGUCUGGUGUUAAUGAAUAAGAGAAAGGCUUACGCUUAGGGAAACAUUCCUCCUGUUCUUCCUCCUCUUCUUUCCCAAGCUUCCCAAUGCUGUCCGUUGGCCCCACACUAUUUCUUGCAGCCCUCCUUCACCCCAGCCAACAAUACUUCCAGCAGCCUCACCACUCUCCUUCAUGC
Bos taurus (domestic cattle) is the source of this 1694-nucleotide long non-coding RNA. NCBI's taxonomy places the organism in Eukaryota, Metazoa, Chordata, Mammalia, Artiodactyla, Bovidae. The record is from Ensembl.